This is a long non-coding RNA of Octopus sinensis (East Asian common octopus), 1224 nucleotides long. RefSeq lists it as uncharacterized. Lineage: Eukaryota; Metazoa; Mollusca; Cephalopoda; Octopoda; Octopodidae. The record is from RefSeq and is a predicted model, not a curated record. The transcript has 3 exons.
AUGGUGGAAAUAUGUUGUUUGAAUUCGUUCUUAUUCUUUAUUUCAGCAAUGGUAGUUUGGUUGCCGACGUUGAGAUGACAUUCAAAAGCUCGCUACAACAGAAUGAAUCAAUGUUGCUGCUAGUCACUGAAAGUAUUGAAAAUAUUCCAGGAGUUAUGAAAGACAAAACGACCGCAGAAUGGCAAACGGAGCAAUCGUCAACAGAUACACAAACAACCGCUGAGCAAUCAUCAACCUCCAUUGAACAACCCUCUAGUUCCAGUGAAUCCUUUGGCAGCGGUGAACAACCAACAACCACCUCUGAACAGCCCCCAAUGCCCUCUGAAUUGUCAUCUGCUACCAAUGAAUUCUUCGCUACCAUUAGUGGACAAACAAGCACUGAACAACCAGCCACUACCACUGAAUUACCACUCCCGAUCAAGCAUCAACGUCAAUAGCUGCAGAAACUGUAUAACGGCACACAAGCACUGAACAGAAACUGCAAACGUCCAUGACUACUGAAAGAGAAUUUUUCAAUCAUUGUUAAUCAAUCACAGGAAACGAAACUCUAUGACCAUUGUUAAACAUCGGAUUUAAAAUAAAACCAUCUUACAACCACUGUUGAAAUUUGAAAAGAGCGUUUCAACGUUCGGAGGGUCGCAGAGCACAACAAUAUUUUGAGCAUUACUAUCUGUGAUAAUUUCUUUCGGUAUUCUUCAAACUACAUUAUUCCACCGUUCGUCAAAGACAGAGAGAAAAAAUGUAACGCUCGUAUCAACGGUUGUAUUAAACUGAUUCAGCAGUUAUGUAGGACAUUAUCAAUGGCGGCUGUAUGAAAAUGUAUCAAGGCAGUAAGAAACUGCACGAAAUGUUCUACCAAACUAUCGUAUACAAAAACAAACCAGUAAAAAUACUCAACAACACCACCAACAACAAAAAACAAAUAAAUAUUUAGAAAAAACAAUAAACUCGGCUCAUCAAUAAAGAAAUAAUGGCAUUCGUCAGAAAGGCAUCGAAUUGUUUCGAUUACCUCCCAACUAGAUAUAGAUUUUUCUUGCCAUUUGUUCAGUUGUAAUACUGUAAUAUUGCUAUGGUGAUCGGCGGUGAUUGUGAUGGGAAACGAAAUCAAAAGCUCUAAAGACAGUAAUUAAGCUUUCAAUGUAGUGUUAUCGUUAUUAACGUAUAAACCAUCUAAAUAUUCCAUUGUAUUACUUAAGCUGAAUAAGCUGUCAAUUCCUCAAAUAA